Molecule: ribosomal RNA, 501 nt
Filed under: uncultured bacterium
Lineage: Bacteria
Description: bacterial SSU rRNA
Rfam family: Bacterial small subunit ribosomal RNA
Source: RNAcentral
AUUGAACGCUGGAGGUAUGCUUAACACAUGCAAGUCGAACGCGAACGUUCCUUCGGGAACAAGUAGAGUGGCGGACGGGUGAGUAACGCGUAGGAAUCUACCCAAGUGUGGGGGAUAGCCCGGGGAAACUCGGAUUAAUACCGCAUAUGUCUUACGAGAUAAAGAGGGCCUCUUCUUGAAAGCUCUUGCACUUGGAUGAGCCUGCGUCGGAUUAGCUUGUUGGUGGGGUAACGGCCCACCAAGGCGACGAUCCGUAGCUGGUCUGAGAGGAUGAUCAGCCACACUGGGACUGAGACACGGCCCAGACUCCUACGGGAGGCAGCAGUGGGGAAUAUUGGACAAUGGGCGCAAGCCUGAUCCAGCAAUACCUCGUGUGUGAAGAAGGCCCUAGGGUUGUAAAGCACUUUCAAUUUGGGAAGAAAAGUUUAAGGUUAAUACCCUUAGACCUUGACGGUACCUUUAGAAGAAGCACCGGCUAACUCCGUGCCAGCGCCGCGGUAA